This 253-nucleotide ribosomal RNA is filed under the name uncultured bacterium. RNAcentral describes it as "partial 16S ribosomal RNA". It matches the Rfam family "Bacterial small subunit ribosomal RNA", at positions 524 to 776 of the family's 1533-position model. The record is from RNAcentral.
UACGUAGGGUGCAAGCGUUGUCCGGAAUUAUUGGGCGUAAAGAGCUCGUAGGCGGUUUGUUGCGUCGGCCGUGAAAACCUGCAGCUUAACUGUGGGCCUGCGGCCGAUACGGGCAGACUUGAGUUCGGUAGGGGAGACUGGAAUUCCUGGUGUAGCGGUGAAAUGCGCAGAUAUCGGGAGGAACACCAAUAGCGAAGGCGGCUCGCUGGGCCAUACCUGACGCUGAGACGCGAAAGCGUGGGGAGCAAACAGG